AGGAUAAAGAUUCAAAAUUCAGAUUGAUUCUUAUUGAGGCAAGGAUCCACAGACUUGCUCGCUAUUACAAAGCAAAGAGGGUCCUGGCACCCAAUUGGAAAUAUGAAUCAGCAACUGCCUCAGCUCUUGUUGCGUAAACUUGUAAAACUUCAUUAUUGAAUGAGAAUCAUGUAGCAAA
Molecule: non-coding RNA, 178 nt
Organism: Rhopilema esculentum
Lineage: Eukaryota; Metazoa; Cnidaria; Scyphozoa; Rhizostomeae; Rhizostomatidae
Source: RefSeq, a predicted model, not a curated record